This is a long non-coding RNA of Zingiber officinale, 83 nucleotides long. RefSeq lists it as uncharacterized. The record is from RefSeq and is a predicted model, not a curated record. The transcript has 3 exons. Lineage: Eukaryota; Viridiplantae; Streptophyta; Magnoliopsida; Zingiberales; Zingiberaceae.
UAUUGAGGUCCUUGGGCAAAGAAGUCGCAAUGAAGUUCUUGCUGAAAUUUAUAUGACUAUCUUCUUUUCAAGGUUGCUGGAAC